GCUAAAAGGAGAGGAGAGGGCCGAGCAGAGGUAGGCGCUGCCUCGCCGCCGGAUCCCAAACGCGGCGCGGCGGCGGGCGCGGCGGAGGGGCGGCUGGUCGGGACGCGCUGCGGUUGACGGAGAGGCUGGGGGGCUUCUCGCGACGCGGAGGGCUCCUGGUUGCCUCGGCCAGGGUAGGCACGGGGGGGAGGGGCCGCUUCGGAUUUCACAGUAACGCCUUGUUGUCUCCUUCGUACCGUCUCCCACCAUAACACCACCGGUAGACGGUCGUGCCGCCCCUCAAGUGAGGACCGGGGUUACCCUUAGACCAGAUGUUUCCCCCUCUUCGCGUGCGGCAACUGCAGAGAGCCCUCUACGGUGACCUGUCGAAGUUCCUACUCCACAGGUUCCACAAGGUACAGCUACAGUGACUGUACAGCAAGUUUAUGAAGGACGGUUUGUUGUUGUCUUGCGAGUAGUGUUAGAGUACACUAGCCCUAAACGUUGCCUACCAACUAAAAUGACGGUCACGGCGCGUUCAUCUGCAAAAACAGUAAUCAUUUCCCCUCUUGUCCUCACAACAUUGAAUGUGACCUCGAAGGUGACAAUUUCGACCUAGAUUACGUGUCCCACUGUUUUCCUUUUUCGGUCGAAGGUUUUUGUUCCGUAGGUUUUCAUUGUUCUUCUGGGGUUUACGAUGGCCACGACGUCAACUUCGAUUAUGGGUACUAAAGUUAGUCGGUUCUGGCCACCUCUGAAAUUUACUAAUGUUACUCCUAAAAGUUGAUCUUAAACCUGCACUACAACGGAAACGGUGGUGUCGACUCCGACAAAGGAGACGAGGUCUGCAAUACUUAGUCCUCUUCGAACGAGAGCAACUAUGGUGUGUUUCCCUUGAUUAACCCGGAAAACUACUAAGUUAGUUACGUAUACUACCAAGCCUCUAGUAUUAUCUAGGAGGGGUCCUUGAAUGGUCAUUGGGGUGAUACAAGACCCUACUGUAAUAAUUUCCACAACCAGUUCUUAAACUAUUGCACUUCCUAAAGGCUCGAGUCAACACGUUCAUAAGGUAGCGCUUUCCUAAACGCAUGGCCAAGUAUUUUUUACUUUGGUGGUCUCAGUGACACUUCACACAACCCCUACCGACGUGGACCUCUAACGUACGUAGGCUCAGUAGAGCAUCGUUCUUCAAACAAUAGUUCUUUUACUGACUACACGUGUGUACACCUCCUCUUCCACCUCUCCCAGUCGCCGCUCGUUGUUCCGUCACCGACUGAUGGUAGUAAUUCCUCUUUGACGCACACUUGCGUAGUGAGUUCGGCUUCCUGGAACAGUUUCUUUAUAUACUUCUUAUACCUCAAGACGACUGGAUAAGUGUCCAAACCGCUCCAUCUCUUCACCGUGUCUUCCUCUACAAAGUACAAUACUCCCUCUGUAAACCGGUAAACGGGACCAUGGCACUGUCUGAAAAAGUCUGAUUGGGUCCCUCGAGUGAACUUAACAGAGUCUGUCACCUAUGUGCGGCACAAAAAUAGCGUAAGGUACGAAGAAACGUGCCUAAACGUUUACCCACGUCCGGGGAGGAAAAAGAACUGUUCCAAGGCGAGUUCCGCUGUUUACUCAUGUUCAACGACCAACGCCGACGUCAACUACGUCUACUACCACAGAAAGGUCACCGUAAAUUACACCAACUUCUACUUUCAAUACUGUCGACCCAAACCAAGAACUACGUCGACUCCUAACGAGAGGUUAUAGUGUCGAUGGGUAAGUUACGAUACUGUAAGAACAGGUUACCUGUUUUCCCAGACCUACGACGACAAGGUGUACACAAACUUCUAUCGGUGGUACGGAAGACAAAUGUAGUAUAGUACCUCCUUAAGUCUCCUCUUGACUCCUUCCCUGGUACCAGCGUUGUCUAUUCUCUACGCUACCAGCUCCUAAAAUGAGCACGCCGGCUUCGUACGUCGUAACUACUCAAAUUACGUAGUUAACUCUCGUAUUCCUUAUAUAGGUGACUUCGACGGCUGACCUAGUAACGCUCAUUCGGUCUCGUAACCAGUCUACGACAGAAGUGUCCGACGGCCAUACUGGUAAAGAGUAGUUUGUAACAACUACGUAAAUUAUUGACCUAUGGUUGUUUCUUCCUCCCCAGGUACCACGACUACUAUCUGAGAGACUCUUAUUUUUAUCACCUCUAUUACCUUCGUUCCGCACUCCGGACGUUCAGUACCCUUCCCGGAAAUUGUGGAAGGUACCUAAAGUUUCGCGUCCCACUCUACAGCUUCCGAUCAUUCGACUGGCACGACACGAGAAGGCUCUGACACAAACUUCACGCCCCGUCGCCAUAAAAACAACAAUUAGAACGUUUAACCCUUACGUGUACAGCCUCCACCGUUGAAAGACCGGAGGGAACAUACGUACGACAACGACACAAAUUGUCCUAACCUGCUAGAAAGAUGCUGAUGACAAGGUUCAAAAAAUUUUAUCUCUCGAUGGUAUACCGUAUGAGUCCUUGUUAGGAGGGUUAAGGACUGUACCUAUGGAAACUAAAAUCACGACCCCGUUGCUAGGGUGGAGGGUUCGGUGCGUGUAGUCUAUUUGGCUCUUCUUUCUCCAAAUUAGGGUUGUUCCAUUGGUGAGAAUAUGCCGAGACAUCGUCCACGUUCGUCCGUCCGGUGUUGUUCCGUUGUACACUUCGGGAAGACAUCUGUUCCGUUUUAGAAGUAGACGUCAUACAUAUCGUCCAAGUGAACCUUCAGACUACACCACUUUCUCUCAAGUACCAUCAGACAAGUGAACCUUCAGACUACACCACUUUCUCUCAAGUACCAUCAGACAAGUGAACCUUCAGACUACACCACUUUCUAUCAAGUAACAUCACCGAAGACAAAAAUCUCCCUUCCCACCUCUAUUGUGCUGUAGUAAGCUAUACUAAAACAAAUAUACUCCCCACAUUGAAUUUCAAGACAUCGCUACCUGAUGUCUACUACUAGGCCACGAUCGAAGACCUGUCACAGUUGACUUUUGUCUCAUCAGCUACUCCCUCAUAAGUUAUGAUGUUCCUUGAGUUCGAGGUACUAAAAACAUACAUACUGUCAUAUUUAGACAAAACGCCAUUGUAUUCUCGCUAAGCAACCUAAACUUCUGACGUGGCUAAGGGCAGUAGUCACAGACCUCGUUCGUUAGACUUUACGAAACGAAGAGAACGAAAAGUCGUAGAGAACGAAAAGCAAUCAACACACGCUCGAAAUUGUGAUCGUACUCUGUUAUCUCUCACCGUGACAACAACAACCUCUACCAUAACCACACCUGUAGGUUACUCUAAUCUCUACUCUUUUCCCUAUUUUCCAAGUACCCCUGUACUUGACACAUGCGUUUUAGUAGUUUCCGCUACUAAAGGAGGUGACUCAUUAUUGUAUAAAAAA
RNAcentral lists this ribosomal RNA (3404 nucleotides) under Triticum aestivum (bread wheat). RNAcentral's name for it is "partial small subunit ribosomal RNA". Lineage: Eukaryota; Viridiplantae; Streptophyta; Magnoliopsida; Poales; Poaceae. The record is from RNAcentral.